RNAcentral lists this ribosomal RNA (460 nucleotides) under uncultured bacterium. RNAcentral describes it as "partial 16S ribosomal RNA". It matches the Rfam family "Bacterial small subunit ribosomal RNA", at positions 338 to 795 of the family's 1533-position model. The record is from RNAcentral.
CCUACGAGUGGCUGCAGUGAGGAAUAUUGGUCAAUGGGCGCGAGCCUGAACCAGCCAAGUAGCGUGAAGGAUGACUGCCCUACGGGUUGUAAACUUCUUUUAUAAAGGAAUAAAGUGAGGCACGUGUGCCUUUUUGUAUGGACUUUAUGAAUAAGGAUCGGCUAACUCCGUGCCAGCAGCCGCGGUAAUACGGAGGAUCCGAGCGUUAUCCGGAUUUAUUGGGUUUAAAGGGAGCGUAGAUGGGUUGUUAAGUCAGUUGUGAAAGUUUGCGGCUCAACCGUAAAAUUGCAAUUGAUACUGGCAGUCUUGAGUACAGUUGAGGUAGGCGGAAUUCGUGGUGUAGCGGUGAAUUGCUUAGAUAUCACGAAGAACUUCGAUUGCGAAGGCAGCUUACUAAACUGCCACUGACAUUGAUGCUCGAAAGUGUGGUUAUCAAACAGGAUUAGAUACCCGAGUAGUC